CUAUUGCGCGGCUUACCAUGCGAGUCGAGCGGGGAGAAUAGCUUGCUACUUUACCUAGCGGCGGACGGGCGAGUAAUGCUUAGGAAUUGCCUAUUAGUGGGGGACAACAUCUCGAAAGGGAUGCUAAUACCGCAUACGUCCUACGGGAGAAAGCAGGGGACCUUCGGGCCUUGCGCUAAUAGAUAAAGCCUAAGUCGGAUUAGCUAGUUGGUGGGGUAAAGGCCUACCAAGGCGACGAUCUGUAGCGGGUCUGAGAGGAUGAUCCGCCACACUGGGACUGAGACACGGCCCAGACUCCUACGGGAGGCAGCAGUGGGGAAUAUUGGACAAUGGGGGGAACCCUGAUCCAGCCAUGCCGCGUGUGUGAAGAAGGCCUUUUGGUUGUAAAGCACUUUAAGCGAGGAGGAGGCUACCGAGAUUAAUACUCUUGGAUAGUGGACGUUACUCGCAGAAUAAGCACCGGCUAACUCUGUGCCAGCAGCCCGCGGUAAUACAGAGGGUGCAAGCGUUAAUCGGAUUUACUGGGCGUAAAGCGCGCGUAGGUGGCCAAUUAAGUCAAAUGUGAAAUCCCCGAGCUUAACUUGCGAAGUUGCAUUCGAUACUGGUUGGCUAGAGUAUGGGAGAGGAUGGUAGAAUUCCAAGUGUAGCGGUGCAAAUGCGUAGAGAUCAUGGGACGAAUACCGAAUGGCGAAAGCCAGCCCAUCUGGCCGUAAUACUGACACUGAGUGCCGAAAGCCAUGGGGAGCAAAAACAGGAUUUAAGAUGACCCCUGGUAGGUCCCAAUGGCCCGUAAAACGAAUGAUCUACUAGCCGAUUGGGGGGCCUUUGAUCGUUUAAGUUGGUCGCAGCUUAACGCGAUUAAGUUAGACCGCCUGGUGAAGUACGGUUCGCAGACUAAAACUCGAUGCAUUGACCUGUGCCCGCCUACAGCCGAUUGCAGCCAUGUUGC
Molecule: ribosomal RNA, 949 nt
Filed under: Acinetobacter sp.
Lineage: Bacteria; Pseudomonadati; Pseudomonadota; Gammaproteobacteria; Moraxellales; Moraxellaceae
Description: bacterial SSU rRNA
Rfam family: Bacterial small subunit ribosomal RNA
Source: RNAcentral